UGCGUGACUGUAUUUAUGCAUCCCGUCAUACUUUGAAUGACAAAAUUAUUUCAUGUCUACCUGUGCGAAUUUCAAACGCGCAAUUUUACACUAGUACUCAAAACCCUCCUUCCUUGAUGGGUGCAUUUUACAUAGACAAAUAUAAUCGUAUAAUAUAAUCAAAAUGAGGAUGUUAAUUUGAUGUGUGCUUCUACGUUACAUUUGUUGUUUUUAUAGUGAUUAAUAUGAUAACACAAUGUUGACUGCUGUACCCCUAUUUUUGACAUUUUUAACUAUUGUGUCUGUUUGUUUUGUUCAAGCAUCGGUGACAAUAUAAUGGAAUGUGAUACGACUGUCAUACAAGUGAGAGGUUUAGCUAGCUAUAAAACCAGGUUCAAUCCACCAUUUUCUACAUUUGAAAAUGCCUGUACCAAGUCAGGAAUAUGACAGUUCUUGUCCAUUCGUUUUUGUUGCGUUUUGUUAUUUGAUUUUGCCAUGUGAUUAUGGACUUUCCGAAUUGAUUUUCCUCCGAGUUCAGUAUUUUUGUGAUUUUACUUUUCACCAGUGACGCUCGAAUCAAAAUAUUCUAAACAGUCCAAAUAAUAAAGAUAGUUGAAGAGCAUUUAGGUCCAAAACAUUCCGAAAGGUU
RNAcentral lists this long non-coding RNA (628 nucleotides) under Mytilus galloprovincialis (Mediterranean mussel). The record is from RNAcentral. Lineage: Eukaryota; Metazoa; Mollusca; Bivalvia; Mytilida; Mytilidae.